RNAcentral lists this small nuclear RNA (107 nucleotides) under Moschus moschiferus (Siberian musk deer). The record is from RNAcentral. Lineage: Eukaryota; Metazoa; Chordata; Mammalia; Artiodactyla; Moschidae.
GUGCUCGCUUCAGCAGCACAUAGACUAAAAUUGAAUCAAUACAGAGAAGAUUAGCAUGGCCCCUGCGUAAGGAUGACACACAAAUUCAUGAAGCGUUCCACAUUUUU